This 442-nucleotide ribosomal RNA is filed under the name uncultured bacterium. RNAcentral describes it as "partial 16S ribosomal RNA". It matches the Rfam family "Bacterial small subunit ribosomal RNA", at positions 338 to 795 of the family's 1533-position model. The record is from RNAcentral.
CCUACGGGUGGCAGCAGUGGGGAAUAUUGGGCAAUGGGCGCAAGCCUGACCCAGCAACGCCGCGUGAAGGAAGAAGGCUUUCGGGUUGUAAACUUCUUUUUAGAGGGAAGAGCAGAAGACGGUACCUCUUGAAUAAGACACGGCUAACUACGUGCCAGCAGCCGCGGUAAUACGUAGGUGGCAAGCGUUGUCCGGAUUUACUGGGUGUAAAGGGCGUGUAGCCGGGCGGAUAAGUCAGAUGUGAAAUUCCGGGGCUCAACCCCGGACCUGCAUUUGAAACUGUUGGUCUUGAGUAUCGGAGCGGCAGGCGGAAUUCCUGGUGUAGCGGUGAAAUGCGUAGAUAUUAGGAGGAACACCAGUGGCGAAGGCGGCCUGCUGGACGACAACUGACGGUGAGGCGCGAAAGCGUGGGGAGCAAACAGGAUUAGAUACCCGAGUAGUC